GUGAAAUUGAUCACAUAACAAACAUUUACCCCUUUGUUUGACCGUGAAAAAUUUCUCCCAUCCCCUUUGUUGUCGUUAAGACAUACAAGAAGAGACCAUGCUUAUCCCGGCAUGGUCUUUUU
RNAcentral lists this small RNA (122 nucleotides) under Bacillus sp. SJS. Its description in RNAcentral is "RNA Staph. aureus E (RoxS)". It matches the Rfam family "RNA Staph. aureus E (RoxS)". From Rfam's summary of the family: It was shown to be regulated by the presence of nitric oxide (NO). Lineage: Bacteria; Bacillati; Bacillota; Bacilli; Caryophanales; Bacillaceae. The record is from Rfam by way of RNAcentral.